AACGAACGCUGGCGGCAUGCCUAACACAUGCAAGUCGAACGAGACCUUCGGGUCUAGUGGCGCACGGGUGCGUAACGCGUGGGAACCUGCCCUUAGGUUCGGAAUAACUCCCCGAAAGGGGUGCUAAUACCGGAUAAUGUCUUCGGACCAAAGAUUUAUCGCCUUUGGAUGGGCCCGCGUUGGAUUAGCUAGUUGGUAGGGUAAAAGCCUACCAAGGCGACGAUCCAUAGCUGGUCUGAGAGGAUGAUCAGCCACACUGGGACUGGGACACGGCCCAGACUCCACCGGAAGGAAGCAGUGGGAAAUAUUGGAAAAGGGGGGAAGGCUUGUCCCGCAAAUGCGGGGGGAGUAAUGAAGGCUUUAGGUUUGUAAAGCUCUUUUCCCCGGAUGAAUAAUGAAAGAACGGGAAGAAUAAGUCCCGGCUAACUCCGU
RNAcentral lists this ribosomal RNA (432 nucleotides) under uncultured bacterium. Its description in RNAcentral is "partial 16S ribosomal RNA". It matches the Rfam family "Bacterial small subunit ribosomal RNA", at positions 29 to 506 of the family's 1533-position model. The record is from RNAcentral.